RNAcentral lists this ribosomal RNA (253 nucleotides) under uncultured bacterium. RNAcentral describes it as "partial 16S ribosomal RNA". It matches the Rfam family "Bacterial small subunit ribosomal RNA", at positions 524 to 776 of the family's 1533-position model. The record is from RNAcentral.
UACGAGUACCCCAAGCGUUAUCCGGCAUUAUUGGGCGUAAAGGGUAUGUAGGUUGUUGUGUUAGUCUCUUGUCAAAGCCUCCGGCUCAACCGGAGAAUUGCGGGGGAAACGGCACAACUAGAGGGCGCGAGAGGUUUGCGGAACUCAUGGUGUAGGGGUGAAAUCCGUUGAUAUCAUGGGGAACACCAAAAGCGAAGGCAGCAAACUGGCGCGUUUCUGACGCUGAAAUACGAAAGCGUAGGUAGCGAAUGGG